CUGCCAGCGUGUCCGUGUCGGCUGCUUCUUUCGGAGGGAGCCAGUGGGGGGACGGGAGUCUCAGCAGGCUGGGGUGUUGCACUUUUCCUUUUGUCUGCAGCCUGAUGUUUGCUUUGUGCUGAAGGAAGACCGUGAUGAUAAUCGUAGCAAUCAGCCCCAAAUACAAACAGGAUGUGGAAGGCGCUGAGUCGCAGCUGGACGAGGAUGAGCACGGCUUACAUACUAAGUACAUUCAUCGAAUGAUGCAGAUUGAGUUCAUAAAACAAGGAAGCAUGAAUUUCAGAUUCAUCCCUGUGCUCUUCCCAAAUGCUAAGAAGGAGCAUGUGCCCACCUGGCUUCAGAACACUCACGUCUACAGCUGGCCCAAGAAUAAAAAAAACAUCCUGCUGCGGCUGCUGAGAGAGGAAGAAUAUGUGGCUCCUCCACGGGGGCCUCUGCCCACCCUUCAGGUGGUUCCCUUGUGACACCGUUCAUCCCCAGAUCAUUGAGGCCAGGCCAUGUUUGGGGCCCUGUUCUGACAGCAUUCUAGCUGAGGCUGGUCGUUAGCACUCCUGGCUGGUUUUUUCUCUGUUCCUCCCGGAGAGGCCCUCUGGCCCCCAGGAAACCUGUUGUGCAGAGCUCUUCCCCGGAGACCUCCACACACCUUGGCUUUGAAGUGGAGUCUGUGGCUGCUCUGCAUUCUCUGCUUUUAAAAAACCCACUGCAGGUGCCAGUGUCCCACAUGUUCCUCCUGACAGUUUGAUGUGUCCAUUCUGGGCCUCUCAGUGCUUAGCAAGUAGAUAAUGUAAGGGAUGUGGCAGCAAAUGGAAAUGACUACAAACACUCUCCUAUCACUUCAGGCUACUUU
RNAcentral lists this small RNA (847 nucleotides) under Pongo abelii (Sumatran orangutan). Its description in RNAcentral is "processed transcript". Lineage: Eukaryota; Metazoa; Chordata; Mammalia; Primates; Hominidae. The record is from RNAcentral.